Sarcophilus harrisii (Tasmanian devil) is the source of this 1766-nucleotide long non-coding RNA. The record is from Ensembl. NCBI's taxonomy places the organism in Eukaryota, Metazoa, Chordata, Mammalia, Dasyuromorphia, Dasyuridae.
AAGAGACAAAAAUUUGUGAAUUCUGCAUAUGAAAUCAAAUUGAGUGCUAAAUAUAUUUCUGAGAACUCCACAGAAGCAGAGAAUGAAGAAAAAGAGGACCAUUCUGUUUCAUGAAGCAGGGUAUAUAUGGGUUUAUUAAAUUAGAACUGAAGAAAAAGAAAAAAGAAAUAGAAUGGAGGGAAAUGAAUUGUAAACAUCUCAUAUAGAAAUAGGACUGUUUGCAAACAUUUUAUCCUUUACCAACAGUUUUGCAUAAAACAAAUGUACCUCUCUUAUUGUCUAGAAAAAGGAAAAAUAAGAAAAGACAAGGAAAAAGAAACAGGUUGAGUUUUUAAGUGUGAAUUAUAUACAUUCUGUUAAUAUUGGUUUCCCCCCAAACUCACAUUUUCAUAUUUUUGCACCUCCCUUUUUGUUGUCACUGACAAAAGUUGUGGAAUUUUAAAUGUGCUACUUUUUAAAGUAGAGAUAAUAAUUUAUAAGAUUAUGGAAAAAAAUUAAAGCUUGAGUUUAUUGUUCAUCCCUAUACACCAUAAUGUGCAUAUGAGACAAAAAAUUAUACUUUAAUAAUGGACAUAAUUCAUUAAUUUACAUUUUUAUCAGUAAACUUAGCAAAAGAUUACUAUCAAUUUUAAGGUAAGUAAAUGAAAAUUAAUUAGUAUAUUGACAAUAAAAUAAUUUUCAUUUAUUUGAAAAAAAUAGAUAUAGUCAUAUGUGAUAAAAGGUGGUACAAAAGCUACUAUAGUUUUUCCAAGUGUGAUGAUUUGGUUUCUGUCUCCAUUGACUAUUCACUAACUUGUAUUGUGUUUUAUGUAUAAAAGCAGUUAUAAGUUUGGGAUAUGUGGCUUAUUUUGGGGUCACACAGUUAGGAGCAGGGACAGAGACAUAUACUUAGAAAUAGUAUGGCACUAUUAAAAUCAUUUACAUGGUUUAUUUGGUAGGCAAACACUAAUGGUUGCAAUACCUAUCAACUUCUUCAAGUUGAUAGACUUCCUCAAAACUAGUAUACAAUUGGUAGGAAAAAUAUCAAGCUACAAAUUGAAGAUAUGUGUGAUCUAUUAAGUGUAGCAAGAGUGCAAACAGAUUUAUUCAUAUAGAUUUAUUUAAGUAGACAAGAAGGUGUCAAAAAUAUACAUCUAUAAAUUCUGAUCUUUGAAGACAUUUUACUUUUAGAAUUUAAAAAUAAACUCUUACAAGUAAUCAAGCCCAUACCCUUCAUUUUACAAUGAGGAAAUUGAGAUGCAGAGAGUUCCCAUGAUUGGGUCACACAGAUAGGAAGUAGCAGAGAUUUAUCUUUAGAGAUAGUUGGGCACUAUUAAAAUAUGAUUUUGAUAUAUGAAGGCAUGGAUCUGGAAUUUGUUACAAUUUGUAUGACCUUGGACAAUUUUCAACCCUUCUGUGCCUCAACUUGUUCCUCAAAUGACAAAAUUUGAUUAGCUGGUUUUUGUAGUUGAUUAGGAGUCUAUAAGUAUAAUUCUAUGUGAAGUCCAACAUUCCAUAUGCAAUCACUUUUUGAGAGAAAGAGCACUCCCUUCAUUUCAGGUAAAAAUUUUUGUAGACUUUCAGAAGUUUAUAUGCUGACGUCAUGGAAUAAACUCAUAAAACAUGAGUUGGAAAAUAUCUUAGAAAUCUUGUAUUCAAACUUGCUCAUUUCAUGGAUGAGGAGAAUGAGAGCUAGAAAAAUGAACUACUUACCUAAAAGUCACAGUGCUGGUAAGAACAAGGAUAGCUAGUUGUAAGAUUCUAUAAAGCUGUACUCCUAUUCCAUG